GCUUCCAGUGCUUUGACAAAACCUCAGAUGCGUGGCCUUCUGGCCAACGUCUGCAAUUUCCCGUACUGAGCAUUCACUGUCUCUCUGGGGGCUGCAGCUCUCUGUAAGUCUGCUGUGGCUGAACCAAGAAAGAGUCAUUCGCAGAUUUCUACAGCAAUUAGGAUUCCGUGAAGGAUUUUGAGGAGAUGAGGAAGGCUGGUAUCUUUCAGAGUGCAA
Molecule: long non-coding RNA, 216 nt
Filed under: Homo sapiens (human)
Lineage: Eukaryota; Metazoa; Chordata; Mammalia; Primates; Hominidae
Description: non-protein coding lnc-FAM92B-7:1
Source: RNAcentral